RNAcentral lists this unclassified non-coding RNA (1581 nucleotides) under Hevea brasiliensis (rubber tree). Lineage: Eukaryota; Viridiplantae; Streptophyta; Magnoliopsida; Malpighiales; Euphorbiaceae. The record is from RNAcentral.
AUAAGACAAGAAAUUAUGACAGUGCAACAGUUGUGGGUAUUGAGAUAGGAACAUUAAUUCAAUUCUCAACUUUGGAUACCAAGACAUCCCGCAUCUUUGUAUUCUUGUGGCCUGCUGCAAUGGUAGCUCCAUUCAUAGCAGGAAAUCUGCGAUAAAAAUUACUGGCCCCCACUUUGAUCCCUAUCAUAUCAAGAUUAGAGGCACACAAUGGAGUGGUCCUUCCCUUUCCAACCCAAAACUCUUUUUAACGGUCGCUAAGAUAUUGUUUGUCCAUUACCCAAUUAUUCCCAAGCUUCUUAAAAUUUUUCAAUCAAAAUCAAAAUUAGAGAAAAUGGUAACAUUCCAUCAAGAACUCAAUCAUGGCCAAUGAAAUUGAAGUCGUGAUUUAUAAUAUGAGGUUAUCAAACUCAACAAAGUUGUGCGGUGAAUGCCCACAUGGAAAAGCAUGGAAUGACAAGGUUAACUCUAAGUUGGGCCAAGGUUUCGAUUCACGCCCACCCAAAAAUCAUUCGUAAUGGACCGGUCAUUGUCAGGACUAACGCGAGACCACACCAAUAAUUUCACCUUAUAAUUUCUGAUUUGUGUUUUUGGAAGGUUGGCAGGUUGGUUAAUUACACUCGCAAUGCAACUAAAACUUUCAGACCUUUUUUUUUUUUUACAGUGUUUUUACAUUUAUUUAUUUACAAGGUUUAAGGGCUAAAAUAUAAGAGGUCAGCAAAUAUUAGGCUAAAAAGCCUAAGACUAGCCCAUACAAAACAACCCCAAACCUAGAAAACAUAACUCUAGAAGACCAGAUAACUAAGCACUCGAAACCAUUGCAGCGCGGGCGAUUCUUCUAGCAGUUGGAGCUGGAGCGAAACAACUGGAAGGGACGAGAAGGAAGUUUCCACAACAAACAAGAGAAACUGUCUCCUUACUAGAGCCACCACCUUAAACUCGAACCCAGCCAAACUCUAAACCUCUAGAGUCAACAAAACGCCACUAGCAACAACAACCAUCAAACGGGUUAAUGGCUGAUAAGUCACGGCCUUUAGUCUCAUAUACCCUAAAAGGGGUGUCAGCACUGAAUGAGACUAGCUUAAUAUCCCGUGAUACCCAUUACCACAAAUAUAAAGAACCCUCCUAAAGGAGGGCAACCACUAUCAUCAGCAAGUGGCGUGGCUCAAACCAACCAAUACAAGCUCCACAGAUCUUCAAACAAGCGCUCACUUUGUCUCCAGAUCUACAGAAACCAACAAAAUCAAAACCCUAUAUACUCCCAACCCAAGUGGGAGAGAGCUACCAGCAAGCCAAGCUAGGAAGAGUGACGUCUUCCCCGGUCCUAUUGAAAAGGGACGCUCUGCUAAACUGCGAAAGUAAACAGUGGGAAAACUUUUUAGGGAAAUUUCUCUCUCUAAAACUUUAGAGAGAGAAAAUCCUGUGCAAGAAUUGUAUUGGGAGAGUAUAUUUAGAUAGAAAUUUAGAUGCAUUCUGAUAUAAUUAUCAAAAGAUAGUUUAAGAACAUGAUAUGUAUUAAAACUUAAUUAUGGUUAUUUUGUGUUUAUUUUUCAUUAAAAUUUAUAUUUAAAAUUUUAUAAUCAU